AAAAUAACAGUCUUCACUUUUAAUGACGCCAAAGACACGACAACAUCUUCAAUCCCAGUGGUAGGCACUCCAUUUUUUUUGUUUUCUGUUUUAAGCCUUUCCCAAACCUUAACCACUCGGAAUUAAUACCUAAACUGAAGUUUAACCCUAACCUUAACCAUUCGGAAUGAAUGCCUAAACGUACGUUUUAGUUGAACCUUUGUAGAGUUUUUGACUGACAGCUAAGAUACGACGCAACAUGGCGUAAUUAAAACAUCAAGCCAUUGCGUAAUUCUGUUACUGCAGUUACGCAACUGUUUGAUGUUUUAUUUGGAGAUUGGGAUUUUUUUUUUUUAACAGUGUGCAUAACUGCAUUUUUUAUUUGAGAGCAGUAUGAUAUCGGCAUGCCAGACUUUGUCAGUGGAAUGUAGAAGUGAGAAAUGACCCUUGUGUUCAACACCUCCCCUGCUCAGAGGCAACACCAUCACUUGGUUUCCUGACUCUCACACCUCAUCACUACUUCAUCUGACAACUAGGUUAAUCAAUACGCUUCUGGCUUUAAAGAUCACUUAUCUCUUUUUUUUACGAGGUCAUCUAAACACAGUUCAAGUUUUUAAAAUAACUGGAGUUGGAAGACUGUUGUUUGAAUGGACAUGGAGGCUGUGUUUGUACUAGUGUUGGUGAUGUUAGCAGCAGUGUCCCAUGCUGAUGACCAAUGCAAGUGGAUGUGAACUGCUGUUUAAAAAGAACCUCACUGACGGUCCGACACUGAUAUUCUCACUGAAAAGAAACAAGGUGACCUUCAAGAGACCCACUGAAGACAGAUCACAGUUCUUUAUGAACAACGGGACCUUUAGGUUAACCAACGUGGAGAGGGCUGAUUCUGGGAAAUACUUCUUGGAGAUCUACGAUUCCGGAGGGGAACAUUUGGGAACCAGACGAGUACAACUGGACAUUGAAGGCAAGUAACAUCAUAAGACAAUUUCAUUCAUACCCUAUCUAUCUAAAUGACCAAAUGCAAAUCAAAUGGAAUAAGUUGGGAGCAGAACAAAGUAGCCAUACUGCCCAGUAAAAUCCAAAACACACCAAAUUCUAUGUAAAAUGUGCCGAAUACAACAGGUGUAGUAGACCUUACAGUGAAAUGCUUACUUACAAGCAAUAACCAAAAAUGCAGUAAAUAAAAAAUAAUAAUAAUUAUAAUAAUAAGAAAGAAUAAUAAAUAAUAGUAACAAAUAAUCAGUUACACUGAUAGUGACUACUUCCUCAGACACAGUAACCAUUUCCUUAAACAGUUGGAAAUACAGUAAGAUUGAAACAAAUUGUGUAACAUAGCUGAUUACAAUAUACUUAGCAUGUGUGGCAACCCUUAACAUUUAAGGUUCUGCAAAUGUAGGCCUAUGUGUACAAGCGGCUUAACGGUCAUGGAAUCAUUGAAUGCAAACAAUAAUUACUGGAUUUCAUUGAAAGAGUAAUUUACACAUCCAGUUUGGGAUUGUAGAAUCAGGGAGACGUUCUCAUAAAGGAAGUCGUAAGCCCUGUAUGUACUGUAUGUGCUUCUGCAGUUGGCACUUUCAGUAGAUUAGUGUUGUUGCCUGGUAACCGUGACCUGGAUUUGGUCAGGUGUCCUCAUCAGCUAUAAAUAAAUGUUGUGUGUAGUGAUUUACCAUUAAUGCUCAUAACCUCUCCAACAUGUUACCUCUCUUCUACCCAGGGCUAUGUCCACCCAUGGUGCUCAUUUUAGGGUCAGUGUCAGCUGGUGGUGUCAUCCUAGCAGUGAUGCUGGUAGGCUGCUGUAUUGGGAGGAGAAGGAGAAUAUUCAACACCACAGGUUAGAACAAAGCAGGCGCCCCACCCAUAAUGUUACCAUAGGUUUAUCAAUGAGGGCUACAGCACAGGGCAGGUGUGUGUGUCACCAAUACCUAAGAUUAAACUGUCAUUAAAUCACUGAUUUCACUCUCAUCUCACAUUGUUAGGUGCAGAACUCAAAGGACUUCAGCCUUCAGAAUGAGGAAGGAGGCGAUCAAACCUGUGGAAACCUAUAACGGAGAGGAGAUAGAGGUUGUGGAGGCUGCUCAGGGGAGGACGGCUCAUAGUAAUGGCUGGAAUGGAGUUAAUGGAAUGGUAUCAAACGUGGUUUCCAUGUGGUUAAUAUAAUUCCAUUGACUCCAUUCCAGCCAUUAAUAUGAGCCGUCCUUCCCUCAGCAACCUCCACUGUUGUGGAGGCAUUAGUGGACCUAUAGUAGCAGACAGAGGUUAUUGAUAAGAAACUUGAAUGGAAAGAACAUAUUGAUUGAUUUAUUGUGCUCCAACCAGAGACCACAUUACAUACAGGCAGUUAACCCACUGUUCCUAGGCCGUCAUUGAAAAUAAGAAUUUGUUCUUAACUGACUUGCCUAGUUAAAUAAAGGUAAAAUAAAUAAAUAAAUAAAUAAAAUACAUGAAUACAUUAUCGAGGAUAAAAACACAAAGCCCGGAGUCUUAUUUCCAUUGGGGUCUUCUUUUGGCAGUGAGAUGGCAGACACUUUUCAUGCACUCAAUGCAAUGAAAAUGAAGAACAGUAGCCAUUUCCAACCAUUUCCAACCAUUUCCAUUUAAAACAAUUUAGAACAAUAUCAACAGCACAGAGGUCCCGUUUGAGUCACCUCGUCAAAGAAUACCCUUAAUCAAAUGGACAUGUUAUUUCUCAGGUAUGUUUUUAGUGACACCUUAAAGCAAUUCUAUGAUGACAGAGUAUUCAGGUAGCUUGGUAAAACUGUUCCAUAGAACUGCAGCAGAAUACAGGAAAUAGUUUUCCACCAUGGAGCUCUUGAAUCUACAGGGAACAAAGUUUCCUCUGGUGGAAUACUGAUUGGUGUCAUUUAUACGGCUAAAAUAAUGUUGUUGUCAAACCCCAAUUUAAACUGGGUGACUUUAGUUUCCACCUUGAGCCGUUUCAGUUCAUCAAAGUGAGAUGGUUCAAGAUGAAUAUUAGGUGGACGUUUCAGAAUAAUCUUGGCUCUUAUUCUGAGAGGUCAUAGGAUUGUUCUUUAUACCUUUAGGGGAACCGCUGUACCAAGAGGCACAACAAUAAUCAAAAUGACACUGCAUACCAGUACCUAUUUCCUUUGUUCUUUCAUUGUAUGCAUCCAUUGACUUCUAAUAAGUAUUUCUUAUGGCAUUGGCUGGUUUCUAUCAGUUUUAUCAGUUAUUUUGCCAGCUAUGAAUUGGCAGUGGCGUUAAAUUACAUGAAUUACAUUCCCUCCAUAAAUGGAAACUAAUUGUAUUUUAAUACUUUUUUUUUCAUGAGAAAUAAACAAUGAAUCUGUAUCACUUUUUCCAAAUGAAGAAGAUAUUAAACCUCACACUUUUUGUAUGGGUUCCUCUUUUCAGAGAAGAAGUGAUAUUUAAUGUCAAACGUACUGUAUAUUAGUAAUUAUAUUAGUUCAUUUUACUCAAAAAGAAACAACCGGUACCGUUCAGACAGUUCUCUAAACUACAGACUGGAACAACUCUUAGAUGCUCAGACUGUACGCAGCCAGAUAGAGUGCCUUCGGAAAGUAUUCAGACCACUUGACAUUCUUACGUUACAGCCUCAUUCUAAAACGUAUUAAAACUGUUUUUUUCCCCUCAUCAAUCUAUACACAAUAUCCCAC
RNAcentral lists this long non-coding RNA (3611 nucleotides) under Oncorhynchus mykiss (rainbow trout). RNAcentral describes it as "lncRNA (ENSOMYG00000070925.1)". Lineage: Eukaryota; Metazoa; Chordata; Actinopteri; Salmoniformes; Salmonidae. The record is from RNAcentral.